CGCGUAUUUCGCGCAGGCGGAACUCGACCGCCCGUUCAGGAAAUAAUCGCGUUCAUAGACGCGCAUCGCGACGAUUUUGGUGUCGGGUCGAUCUGCAGGAUUUUGCAGGUCGCACCA
Regulatory RNA element from Paracoccus halophilus, 117 nucleotides. It matches the Rfam family "ALIL pseudoknot". The record is from Rfam. NCBI's taxonomy places the organism in Bacteria, Pseudomonadati, Pseudomonadota, Alphaproteobacteria, Rhodobacterales, Paracoccaceae.